Molecule: long non-coding RNA, 563 nt
Organism: Perca fluviatilis (European perch)
Lineage: Eukaryota; Metazoa; Chordata; Actinopteri; Perciformes; Percidae
Exons: 3
Source: RefSeq, a predicted model, not a curated record
UUCCAAAGCCAGUUGCACCAAACUCCUAGAGGCUGCUACUUGGAAGCAGAAUCUCAAGAUGGAGAAAGUGCAUUUAACACGUGUGGGACAAGGCAGACUGGCGGUGAGACAAAGAACUGCUUCACACCUUUGACCAGGUUGCAGUUUUCCCAUUGGCCGUCGGGUCUUUGAAUGCACCACCCCGCCACUAGGAGGCGGGGGAACGAUAAAAGCGUUCGGCGUUUGUGCUUCUUCGCUUUUCCACCGUGACUCACGUCGCGAAAGGAAGCACUCUAGUCCGGACUAGUAAACUAGAAAACCAGCAUCAUCUCGCUGGCCGAGUUUCGAGCUGGUACAAAGUAUAUUGGCCUGAUAUACAAAGGGGAUCCGAGGAAAUACUUUGUCGAAGUAUUCCUUCAUCUGCAGCGGGCUUAAUCAGCCUGGAUUUAAGAAAAGGACUGUUCUUUUUCUUGUUUGGUCGACCUGGAAUCCGUUUUUCGUUCUUUUGCUCCUGACGAAACGGAUUGUUAAGCUCUUGCCAAGAGACUUAACUGACAGACAACGCACAUGGAAGAUCAGAAUAU